This is a non-coding RNA of Acanthosepion pharaonis, 112 nucleotides long. Lineage: Eukaryota; Metazoa; Mollusca; Cephalopoda; Sepiida; Sepiidae. The record is from the annotation of a GenBank genome assembly.
AUGGCCAUAUCACAUUAAAACACAGGUUCCAGUAUGAUCACCAAAGUUAAGCACUGUCAAGGCUGGUCAGUACCCAGAUGGGUGAUCACUCAGGAAUACCAUAUGCUGUAAG